Molecule: ribosomal RNA, 971 nt
Filed under: uncultured bacterium
Lineage: Bacteria
Description: bacterial SSU rRNA
Rfam family: Bacterial small subunit ribosomal RNA
Source: RNAcentral
GGUGCGAGCGUUAAUCGGAAAUUACUGGGCGUAAAGCGCACGUAGGCUGUAUAUCAAGUCAAGGGUGAAAUCCCCGGGCUCAACCUGGGAACUGCCUUUGAAACUGGUAAACUGGAGUAUGUGAGAGGGUGGCGGAAUUCCUGGUGUAGGAGUGAAAUCCGUAGAUAUCAGGAGGAACAUCAGUGGCGAAGGCGGCCACCUGGCACAAAACUGACGCUGAGGUGCGAAAGCGUGGGUAGCAAACAGGAUUAGAUACCCUGGUAGUCCACGCUGUAAACGAUGGAUACUGGGUGUUGGGAUGUAUGUCUCGGCGCCGUAGCUAACGCGUUAAGUAUCCCGCCUGGGGAGUACGGUCGCAAGGCUGAAACUCAAAGAAAUUGACGGGGGCCCGCACAAGCGGUGGAGUAUGUGGUUUAAUUCGAUGCAACGCGAAGAACCUUACCCAGGCUUGACAUCUAGGGAGCCUCUUUGAAAGAAGAGGGUGCUCUUCGGAGAACCCUAAGACAGGUGCUGCAUGGCUGUCGUCAGCUCGUGCCGUGGGGUGUUGGGUUAAGUCCCGCAACGAGCGCAACCCCUGUCCUUAGUUGCCAUCGAGUAAGGUCGGGCACUCUAAGGAGACCGCCCCGGUUAACGGGGAGGAAGGUGGGGACGACGUCAAGUCAUCAUGGCCCUUACGCCUGGGGCUACACACGUACUACAAUGGCGCAUACAAAGGAAGCGAGACCGCGAGGUGGAGCCAAUCUCAAAAAAUGCGUCCCAGUCCGGAUUGGAGUCUGCAACUCGACUCCAUGAAGUCGGAAUCGCUAGUAAUUCUGGAUCAGCAUGCCAGGGUGAAUGCGUUCCCGGGCCUUGUACACACCGCCCGUCACACCACGAAAGUCGGUUUUACCCGAAGCCGGUGAGCCAACAAGCAAUUGAGGCAUCCGUCUACGGUAGGCCCGAUGAUUGGGGUGAAGUCGUAACAAGGUAGC